This 468-nucleotide ribosomal RNA is filed under the name uncultured bacterium. RNAcentral describes it as "partial 16S ribosomal RNA". It matches the Rfam family "Bacterial small subunit ribosomal RNA", at positions 28 to 507 of the family's 1533-position model. The record is from RNAcentral.
GAUGAACGCUGGCGGCGUGCUUAACACAUGCAAGUCGAACGGAAAGGCCCUGCUUUUGUGGGGUGCUCGUGUGGCGAACGGGUGAGUAACAAGUGAGUGACCUGCCUUUGACUUUGGGAUACCUUCAGGAAAGUGGGGCUAAUACCGGCUAGGUGCUCCUGCUGCAUGGUGGGGGUUGGAAAGUUUCGGCGGUUGGCGAUGGACUCGCGGUUUAUCAGCUUGUUGGUGGAGUAGUGGCUUACCAAGGCUUUGGCGGGUAGCCGGCCUGUGGGGGUGACCGGGCACAAGAGUACUGAGAUACGCCCCAGUCUCCAACGGGAGGCAGCAGUGGAGAAUAUGACACAAUAAGCGGAAGCGUGAGGCAACAACGCUGCGUGCGUAAAGACGUCCUGCAGGGUGUAAACCGCUUUCGCCUGAGACGAAGCGUGGGUGACGGUAAUGGGUAAAGAAGCACCGGCUAACUACGUG